Long non-coding RNA from Sapajus apella (tufted capuchin), 295 nucleotides. RefSeq lists it as uncharacterized. The record is from RefSeq and is a predicted model, not a curated record. Lineage: Eukaryota; Metazoa; Chordata; Mammalia; Primates; Cebidae. The transcript is spliced from 3 exons.
GGUACUUGUCUAUAAGCCACUUACCAUGAAUGGAGUUUGCAGGACUGGAAGUAACAUUGGGUGAGUCAGUGAGCAAGUGGUGAAUGAAUGUGAAGGUCUAGGAUAUUAUUGCACACUACUGUAGACUUUAUAAACCGUGCACACUUAGGCUAUACUAAAAUAAUUAAAAAAUAUUUUCUUCAAUGAUAAAUUAUCCUCGCUUACUGUAACAUUUUUACUUUAUAAACUAAUGUUUUUAAACUUUUUGACUCUUUUGUAAUAACACAUCUUAAAAUGCACACUGUACAGCUCUGAC